This is a long non-coding RNA of Pomacea canaliculata, 3621 nucleotides long. RefSeq lists it as uncharacterized. The record is from RefSeq and is a predicted model, not a curated record. NCBI's taxonomy places the organism in Eukaryota, Metazoa, Mollusca, Gastropoda, Architaenioglossa, Ampullariidae. The transcript has 2 exons.
UAAUAUUAAAAUCAAAAUUUAAAAAAAGAACAAUAAUAACCGUGGCGACUCAUAAUGAGGUCGGGUUCAAGUGACACGCGGUCUGCUGUACCCUGCGGCGAAGAGUGACAACUGUAGCGUGACUGUCGUUUACAAGUUUACAUUUGAAACCUUUACAGUUCUGAGCAGUUUUACCAUUACAUUAAAGUUUGCUAAAAUAACAAAAAUUUUACAUCUCUCUGUAACCAAGUGAGCAACUCAAAUCCUUCUCACAUCUGUGAUUUUGCUCACAUUGUUCUGUUUCUGUUUGACAGAUUGCUUGGAAAAAAAAAAAAAAUAAAAAAUUCUACGCCUCAAGGGUGACUGCUCCAGGAUGCCGUCGUUGAUAGGUAAAAAGUCCCAGAGACAAUAGGGUCAGUGAUCGGCAUUCACCGUACCCAGUACACAGCACAAGUAAGUAUCGAACCGGCAAUCCUUUAAUCCACACGAGUGUAGACGCUAUACUUUGUUUACCUUUGUAGACACAGGGACAUCAGAUUUUAUUUGCAGAGACGUACAAGGGUAAAUUUUAUUUUUGCCUUUUAAUGUAAGACGAGAAAUGAUUUCAAGUCGGAUUUCGAUAUUCCAUGCUCUGAAGAAUAAAAGGCAUUAUAAUUAUGUUUGUUUGCUUGUUUGCAUAUUGCAGAUGAAAUGAAACCUGAAACGAAAGUUUCAAGUUUGAUCGAUGAAUGGAAAAAAACCCAACAACAAUAACAACAACAAACAACAAAAAAAAAAAAAAAAAAAAAAACAACACCAAAAACUAACAAAGCUACACAGUUUCAAAAUGUGUUCUUUUGUGAUAUUUGAAACGGUACAAAGGUAGAUAGUUUUCUCAAAUAAAGUCAUCUUAGCGGCGUCUGCUUUGUAAGGCAGAAGUUUGCACGUGAUACCUGCUUUGUUUACGCUGACUUGAACACACCUGUGCCGGAACAACAUCCUUUGUUAUGAGGGUGCAGCUUGCUGCUUACUCAGCUGUGAAAGAUCGAUGUUCCCUCUCUACAUAUAUCGAUAUUCUCAUGGUUUUCCUGUGGUGAAGUGUCAGUCAUUUGUUGCAUUUUUUCUGCCACCGAUUUUUUGUUUACAUCUUCACUCACCCGGAGGGCUGUUGCAACUGUGAUUUCUUUUCUUUGAUUCUAAUCUAUAGCGUUGAAUGUUUCACUGGUAAUCCACUGGCCAGACGUACCCAGCGGUACCCACGUUCCCCCGCCAUUGUCUUCCAGGUCUCUGUGACAGUCCUUAUGGGCAGGGUUAUAGGGUUAUUAUUCUCCCCCCUCCCCACGACUCUUGUUCCCGGGGACUUUCCGCCUGAUUACUCCCACGCCGCCAUGGCACCAGCCUUGCGAUCUCACGGUACCCUGGCAAAUGGCCGUGUGAAGUGGACUUGAACUUUGUUCAGCUACAUUUUACUGCUGGAAACCAGGAAGGCGUGCUCGGUGCCGUUCUCAUUGUCUCUUUCACCCAGCUCAUUGAGCCACCCGAACAUCAAAGAGUAGCCUCCACUCAAAUGACGCUUUUCGCGGCAGCUGGUGUUUUUCGGGGUGGCAGCGGGACGGGUGUGUGUGUGUGGGGUGGGGUUGGGGUAGAGAGUAAGAAUGGGUGGUGGAAAAUGGGUGUCAGCCACGUGUCGCUGUGUGACGUACUAGCCGGGGGACGUAACAGGACGUUUUCAGCCUCCGAGGCCAGCGGGCUGGUUUUUUUUUUUUUUAUUAUUAUUCGUUCAGAUGUUCAGCCUUCGUCCCUCCUGCCAUACUAUAGCCUAAAUCACAACCAGACAAUGUAAAGGGCUUGCAGCCCCAGUCCGUCAAUAGAUGAUUAAGCUGGACAGGAAGCCUCUGUAUGUAAUCAAAGAGUUUGUAGGAGUCCCCCUUUGAACUUGUACAGACUGAAUUCCGUUCUUUGGAGAUCAGAGGGAACACUGCCAGAAUAUUUCAGGCUCGUCUUGAAUAUGUCAGUUCUCGCUAAGGCAUCAUUUAGUAGUCAUGGUGACAAUACCAACUCCGAAAGUCAAUCAAGGAUUUGUAGAAACUAAUAGGGAAAAUUUCCCAGGUGUCUCUGGUUCUGUUGUUAGCAUCUUUUUCUUUCUUUCUUUUUUUUUUUUUUUUAAAAAGAUUUCACUGUUCACUAUGCUUGUGUUAUUCGAAUGUUUAUUUAUACUUUACCAUGCUGAUACAACGCAAAUAUUUAUUUGACCUCCGCAAUUAUGAUAUUUAGUAAAUAUCUUGCAAGUGCCAUUCUCCCUUUAACAAACUCGUGUGUUUAUUGCAGGUGGAGGGGCGGGCAGCGAUAGGGAGUGUAAUUAUACGAAUAGAAAACAACAAAAAAGCUAUACAUAUAUUUACCUCAUGUUGUAUAUUUGUAAAAUCUGUGUAACAUUAGAUGAGCGCACGAGUUCAAGCGGUCAUAGGGCUACCGCUCCGCCCUUCCCCUCUCACCCUCCUGUGGUUGUCGUCGCGUUGUCACGUGACGUGAACGAGCUUCACACCGCGACAGAUGGCACGAUCAUUACGUGCACGCAAGAUAACGGGCCGAGGUGGCAGCUGUUUGUCUGCCAAGAAAGCCUUCGACAGCAGGCGAAGAAGUGCCCAACCUGUCGCCAGGUAAAAUCAACACCCUUUCCAUCCACAGCCGCACUUAUGUUAUAACCGCUCAGUUAUCGCAACCAUGGCUACGAGAAAGGCCUCGGCUUUUGGCAAGGUGUACGAAGCUACCUUAUCAACUUUGCACACGUUAUCCCGAAUCACAAUUCUCCAGGUUUUGUUUGACCAGAUUCAUUGUUGUUAGUGCCAUCUUAUGCUUUGUUGGAAGGAGAAACAGCUUUCCUGAGUGAUUGUUCAAGAUACGUUCUUUUUAAACGAAGAUUUUCCUAACUAGGAAGAACAAAACAUAUCUGGAUAUCAGUCAGCAAAGCUACUCAUACUUUAUUAAACAUUUUGCAUCCAGUUAGAGUGACUGUGCACAGGUUCUGUCUAUUGCUUUUGUCAGCUAACAAUUUACAUCAGGAGAGAGGAGAGAGUGGUAAUGGUAUCUAGGUGUCAAGUCACCUGUUGUGACUGCAUCCUGCAAAGAUUUUCACAGGGGCUAAGGCUCUUGUCACUAUGACACUGAAAAUGCAUCUGUAUGUAAAAGUGAUUUGUACCUAGAUCUACAGUAUUGGUAAAACAUAAGAAUUUUUUGUGAAAUUGUGCAUGUGAAAAAAUGCACAUAUCUUCAGCAAAAUUAAAUGACAACCACCCUAUUUACUUACAUUUUAAUAGGUGUUCUCUUUACCAAAGAACAAAAUUCAUCCACACAAAAAUAUAAUUGCAGAUUUGGAAUGUUUUUAAUCAUGAUUUUGCCAUUUAUGUCAGAAAAGACACCACAAUGAAAAUAAUUCCUUGAAUGGGUGAUGCCCUUUCCAUCUUGAGAUGACAAGACAAUCAUUAUGAAGUCAACAUCAAAAUGUGUCACAGCUGAUAGUGUGCUUGCAUAUAAGCAUAAGCAUCAAUAAAUAUUUGCACUUGAAUGUUACAGGUCAUAGUUAUAAACACUUAUUUUUAAAAAAUAAUAAUUUUAAUAUCUGCCUCAAUUACACUGCCAAAAAUUACAAAAUAAGAAAACAAA